GGGUUGUGAGGUUAAGCGACUAAGCGUACACGGUGGAUGCCCUGGCAGUCAGAGGCGAUGAAGGACGUGCUAAUCUGCGAAAAGCGUCGGUAAGGUGAUAUGAACCGUUACAGCCGGCGAUGUCCGAAUGGGGAAACCCAGUGCAAUUCGUUGCACUAUCGUUAACUGAAUACAUAGGUUAACGAGGCGAACCGGGGGAACUGAAACAUCUAAGUACCCCGAGGAAAAGAAAUCAACCGAGAUUCCCCCAGUAGCGGCGAGCGAACGGGGAGCAGCCCGGAGUCUGAAUCAGCUUGUGUGUUAGUGGAAGCGUCUGGAAAGUCGCAGGGUACAGGGUGAUACUCCCGUACACUAAAACACACAGGCUGUGAACUCGAAGAGUAGGGCGGGACACGUGGUAUCCUGUCUGAAUAUGGGGGGACCAUCCUCCAAGGCUAAAUACUCCUGACUGACCGAUAGUGAACCAGUACCGUGAGGGAAAGGCGAAAAGAACCCCGGCGAGGGGAGUGAAAAAGAACCUGAAACCGUGUACGUACAAGCAGUAGGAGCCC
RNAcentral lists this ribosomal RNA (551 nucleotides) under Klebsiella oxytoca. RNAcentral describes it as "bacterial LSU rRNA". It matches the Rfam family "Bacterial large subunit ribosomal RNA", at positions 1 to 582 of the family's 2925-position model. Lineage: Bacteria; Pseudomonadati; Pseudomonadota; Gammaproteobacteria; Enterobacterales; Enterobacteriaceae. The record is from RNAcentral.